AACGAACGCUGGCGGCAGGCUUAACACAUGCAAGUCGAGCGCCCCGCAAGGGGAGCGGCAGACGGGUGAGUAACGCGUGGGAACGUACCCUUUGCUACGGAAUAGCUCCGGGAAACUGGAAUUAAUACCGUAUGUGCCCUACGGGGGAAAGAUUUAUCGGCAAAGGAUCGGCCCGCGUUGGAUUAGCUAGUUGGUGGGGUAAUGGCCUACCAAGGCGACGAUCCAUAGCUGGUCUGAGAGGAUGAUCAGCCACAUUGGGACUGAGACACGGCCCAAACUCCUACGGGAGGCAGCAGUGGGGAAUAUUGGACAAUGGGCGCAAGCCUGAUCCAGCCAUGCCGCGUGAGUGAUGAAGGCCUUAGGGUUGUAAAGCUCUUUCACCGGAGAAGAUAAUGACGGUAUCCGGAGAAGAAGCCCCGGCUAACUUCGUGCCAGCAGCCGCGGUAA
RNAcentral lists this ribosomal RNA (447 nucleotides) under uncultured bacterium. RNAcentral describes it as "partial 16S ribosomal RNA". It matches the Rfam family "Bacterial small subunit ribosomal RNA", at positions 29 to 523 of the family's 1533-position model. The record is from RNAcentral.